This 2117-nucleotide ribosomal RNA is filed under the name Fidelibacterota bacterium. RNAcentral describes it as "partial 23S ribosomal RNA". It matches the Rfam family "Bacterial large subunit ribosomal RNA", at positions 1 to 2039 of the family's 2925-position model. Lineage: Bacteria; Pseudomonadati; Fidelibacterota. The record is from RNAcentral.
GGUAAAGUUAUUAAGGGCGUACGGGGAAUGCCUAGGCACAUGGAGCCGAUGAAGGACGUGGUAAGCUGCGAUAAGCCUCGGGAAGGAGCAAACAUCCUUAGAUCCGGGGAUUUCCGAAUGGGGCAACCCAAAUCGAGUCAUGUCGAUUUACUCCUGUCUGAAUAUAUAGGACAGGGUGAGACAACGAGGUGAACUGACACAUCUAAGUAACCUCAGGAAGAGAAACCAAAAGGGAUUUCCUCAGUAGCGGCGAGCGAACGGGAAUGAGCCUAAACCGCCAACGUGCCAAGCUUACAGGCGUUGCGCUGGCGGGGUUGUGGGAUCGAUUCAGAGUCUGCUGUAACAGGCUCGGCAAGUCAAAAAAUCUGAUAUUAAUUGAAUGGUCUGGAAAGUCCAACCGUAGAAGGUGAUAGUCCUGUAAAUGAAAAUUGACGAUCUUGCUGGAAUCGACACCCGAGUAACACGGGACACGAGAAAUCUUGUGUGAAUCUGCCGGGACCAUCCGGUAAGGCUAAAUACUCCCAUGUGACCGAUAGUGAACUAGUACCGUGAGGGAAAGGUGAAAAGUACUCCUAACGGAGAGUGAAAUAGAACCUGAAACCGUAUACCUACAAGCGGUCGGAGCUCCACUUCGGUGGGGUGACGGCGUGCCUUUUGCAUAAUGAGCCAGCGAGUUGCUCGUACGUUGCAAGGUUAAGAAUGGACAUUCGAAGCCGAAGCGAAAGCGAGUCUGAACAGGGCGUUCAGUAGCGUGCGGCAGACCCGAAACUGAGUGAUCUAGCCAUGACCAGGAUGAAGUCCCGGUAACACGGGAUGGAGGUCCGAACCCACUUCGGUUGAAAACGGAGGGGAUGAGUUGUGGUUAGGGGUGAAAGGCCAAUCAAACUCAGAGAUAUCUGGUUCUCGCCGAAAUGCCUUUAGGGGCAGCGUUGUAUUAGUGUACCGGGGGUAGAGCACUGAAUGGGCUAGGGGGCCUACAAGCUUACCAACCCCAAUCAAACUCCGAAUACCGGAUACAUGAUGUACAGCAGUGAGGCUGCGGGCGAUAAGGUUCGUAGCCAAGAGGGAAACAACCCAGAUCAACAGCUAAGGUCCCAAAGUCAAUGCUAAGUGAAAAAGGAUGUCAAAUUGCCCAGACAGCUAGGAGGUUGGCUUAGAAGCAGCCAUCCUUUAAAGAAAGCGUAACAGCUCACUAGUCGAGGGAUUUUGCGCCGAUAAUAACCGGGACUAUAAGCAUUGCACCGAAGCUUUGAACUCAAUUUAUUGAGUGGUAGGCGAGCGUUCCAUCCACCGUUGAAGGUUGACCCGCGAGGGCAGCUGGAGGAAAUGGAAAUGAGUAUGCUGGCAUGAGUAGCGUUAAACAUAGUGAAAUUCUAUGUCACCGUAAGCCCAAGGUUUCCUGAGUAAAGUAACUCUGCUCAGGGUUAGUCGGACCCUAAGCCGAGGCCGAAAGGCGUAGGCGAUGGAAAACGGGUAAAAUAUUCCCGUACCAGCGAUUGAUUGUUUGAACUAAGGGGGGACGCAGGAGUGAAAGGUUAGCACGGUAUUGAAUGUCCGUGUCUAAGCAUGUAGGGUGAUCCGGUAGGCAAAUCCGCCGGAUCUUAUAGCCUGAGAUGUGAAUGGGAAGCGCGCCUUCGGGCAAGCCAACUAACCCUAAUCAUACUGCCAAGAAAAUCCUCUAUGUGAGAUCAAUAGCUGACCGUACCGUAAACGGACACACGUGGGCGAGGAGAGUAUCCUAAGGUGCUUGGGAGAAUCAUGGUUAAGGAACUCGGCAAAAUGGCCCCGUAACUUCGGGAGAAGGGGUGCCCUUAUUAGGUGGAGAUCUUCGCGAUCCGAGCUGAACAGGGCCGCAGUGAAGAGGCCCAAUCGACUGUUUAACAAAAACACAGGUCUAUGCUAAGUCGUAAGACGAAAUAUAUGGACUGACACCUGCCCGGUGCCGGAAGGUUAAAUGGAGAGGUUAGUACUUCGGUACGAAGCUUUGAAAUGAAGCCCCGGUAAACGGCGGCCGUAACUAUAACGGUCCUAAGGUAGCGAAAUUCCUUGUCGGGUAAGUUCCGACCUGCACGAAUGGUGUAACGAAUUGGGCACUGUCUCAACCAUGACCCCAGCGA